This 630-nucleotide ribosomal RNA is filed under the name Triticum aestivum (bread wheat). Its description in RNAcentral is "partial small subunit ribosomal RNA". Lineage: Eukaryota; Viridiplantae; Streptophyta; Magnoliopsida; Poales; Poaceae. The record is from RNAcentral.
AUGUCUUCCUCCACCUCCUCCUCCUUCCAGCCAAACCUCAGCGGCGGAGUCACGGAGAAACUCUCCAGCACCAACUACAUCCUGUGGCGGACUCAGAUCACGCCACAGCUGCGGGGCGCCGGCGUCUAUCACUACGUCGACGGCACGUCGACCGAGCCGGCCAAAACCCACGUCACCAAAGAUGCCGCUGGGAAAGAAACCGAGGGGUCGAAUCCUCUCCAUCCGCUCUGGGUGAAGGAGGAUCAGCAGGUCCUUGGAUAUCUACUCCAACACCUAUCCAAGGAGGUGCUCGUCACGGUGACUGCGAUCACCAUGGCGCGCGAACUCUGGGUGGCGCUGGCGAGCAUGUUCUCGUCGCAGUCCCUCAGCCGCGUCAACAACAUUCGCACGGCGCUGAUCAACGCGCAGAAGGGCAGCCAAUCGGUGUCCUCCUUCUUCACCACCAUGAGGGGGCUUGCUGAUGAGCUCGCCGCGGCGAGAAAACCGAUCCAAGACGACGAGCUCAUAUCCUACAUCAUCCACGGGCUGGACCAAGACUAUCAGCCCCUCGUCUCCGCCUUGGAUGCCCGAGUCACUCCGGUAACCCUUGAUGAGCUUUUCGCUAUGCUUAGCAACUUUGAUCAGCGUAUG